AUUGAACGCUGGCGGCAUGCCUUACACAUGCAAGUCGAACGGCAGCGGGGGAGAAGCUUGCUUUUCCUGCCGGCGAGUGGCGAACGGGUGAGUAAUACAUCGGAACGUGCCCUGUAGUGGGGGAUAACUAGUCGAAAGAUUAGCUAAUACCGCAUACGACCUGAGGGUGAAAGUGGGGGACCGCAAGGCCUCAUGCUAUAGGCGCCGCCGAUGUCUGAUUAGCUAGUUGGUGGGGUAAAGGCCUACCAAGGCGACGAUCAGUAGCUGGUCUGAGAGGACGAUCAGCCACACUGGGACUGAGAAACGGCCCAGACUCCUACGGGAGGCAGCAGUGGGGAAUUUUGGACAAUGGGCGAAAGCCUGAUCCAGCAAUGCCGCGUGUGUGAAGAAGGCCUUCGGGUUGUAAAGCACUUUUGUCCGGAAAGAAAUGGCUCUGGUUAAUACCUGGGGUCGAUGACGGUACCGGAAGAAUAGGGACCGGCUAACUACGUGCCAGCCGCCGCAGUAA
RNAcentral lists this ribosomal RNA (508 nucleotides) under uncultured bacterium. Its description in RNAcentral is "partial 16S ribosomal RNA". It matches the Rfam family "Bacterial small subunit ribosomal RNA", at positions 30 to 523 of the family's 1533-position model. The record is from RNAcentral.